CCUACGGGCGGCAGCAGUAGGGAAUAUUGCGCAAUGGGCGAAAGCCUGACGCAGCAACGCCGCGUGAACGAGACGCGCUUCGGGGUGUAUAGUUCUGUCUGUGGGGACGAAAAAUGACGGUACCCACAGAGGAAUCACCGGCUAACUCCGUGAAAGCAGCCGCGGUGAUACGGCGGGUGCAAGCGUUGUCCGGAAUCAUUGGGCGUAAACAGUUCGUAGGCGGCAUGUAAAGUCAGGUGGUAAAGGCGCAGGCUCAACCUGUGUAUGGCAGGUGAUACCUGCAAGCUGGAGUGCGGUAGAGGUAAGGGGAAUUCCUGGUGUAGCGGUGAAAUGCAUAGAUAUCAGGAAGAACAGCGGUGGCGAAAGCGCUUUACUGGGCCGUAAUUGACGCUGAGGAACGAAAGCGAGGGUAGCGAAUGGGAUUAGAUACCCCAGUAGUC
RNAcentral lists this ribosomal RNA (440 nucleotides) under uncultured bacterium. Its description in RNAcentral is "partial 16S ribosomal RNA". It matches the Rfam family "Bacterial small subunit ribosomal RNA", at positions 338 to 795 of the family's 1533-position model. The record is from RNAcentral.